RNAcentral lists this ribosomal RNA (1250 nucleotides) under Lactiplantibacillus plantarum. RNAcentral's name for it is "bacterial SSU rRNA". It matches the Rfam family "Bacterial small subunit ribosomal RNA", at positions 46 to 1262 of the family's 1533-position model. Lineage: Bacteria; Bacillati; Bacillota; Bacilli; Lactobacillales; Lactobacillaceae. The record is from RNAcentral.
GCCUAAUACAUGCAAGUCGAACGAACUCUGGUAUUGAUUGGUGCUUGCAUCAUGAUUUACAUUUGAGUGAGUGGCGAACUGGUGAGUAACACGUGGGAAACCUGCCCAGAAGCGGGGGAUAACACCUGGAAACAGAUGCUAAUACCGCAUAACAACUUGGACCGCAUGGUCCGAGUUUGAAAGAUGGCUUCGGCUAUCACUUUUGGAUGGUCCCGCGGCGUAUUAGCUAGAUGGUGGGGUAACGGCUCACCAUGGCAAUGAUACGUAGCCGACCUGAGAGGGUAAUCGGCCACAUUGGGACUGAGACACGGCCCAAACUCCUACGGGAGGCAGCAGUAGGGAAUCUUCCACAAUGGACGAAAGUCUGAUGGAGCAACGCCGCGUGAGUGAAGAAGGGUUUCGGCUCGUAAAACUCUGUUGUUAAAGAAGAACAUAUCUGAGAGUAACUGUUCAGGUAUUGACGGUAUUUAACCAGAAAGCCACGGCUAACUACGUGCCAGCAGCCGCGGUAAUACGUAGGUGGCAAGCGUUGUCCGGAUUUAUUGGGCGUAAAGCGAGCGCAGGCGGUUUUUUAAGUCUGAUGUGAAAGCCUUCGGCUCAACCGAAGAAGUGCAUCGGAAACUGGGAAACUUGAGUGCAGAAGAGGACAGUGGAACUCCAUGUGUAGCGGUGAAAUGCGUAGAUAUAUGGAAGAACACCAGUGGCGAAGGCGGCUGUCUGGUCUGUAACUGACGCUGAGGCUCGAAAGUAUGGGUAGCAAACAGGAUUAGAUACCCUGGUAGUCCAUACCGUAAACGAUGAAUGCUAAGUGUUGGAGGGUUUCCGCCCUUCAGUGCUGCAGCUAACGCAUUAAGCAUUCCGCCUGGGGAGUACGGCCGCAAGGCUGAAACUCAAAGGAAUUGACGGGGGCCCGCACAACCGGUGGAGCAUGUGGUUUAAUUCGAAGCUACGCAAAGAACCUUACCAGGUCUUGACAUACUAUGCAAAUCUAAGAGAUUAGACGUUCCCUUCGGGGACAUGGAUACAGGUGGUGCAUGGUUGUCGUCAGCUCGUGUCGUGAGAUGUUGGGUUAAGUCCCGCAACGAGCGCAACCCUUAUUAUCAGUUGCCAGCAUUAAGUUGGGCACUCUGGUGAGACUGCCGGUGACAAACCGGAGGAAGGUGGGGAUGACGUCAAAUCAUCAUGCCCCUUAUGACCUGGGCUACACACGUGCUACAAUGGAUGGUACAACGAGUUGCGAACUCGCGAGA